RNAcentral lists this small RNA (158 nucleotides) under Ralstonia solanacearum CFBP2957. RNAcentral's name for it is "yybP-ykoY". The stretch from base 1 to 137 matches the Rfam family "Manganese Mn2+ riboswitch aptamer (yybP-ykoY)". From Rfam's summary of the family: This RNA was originally discovered in E. coli during a large scale screen and was named SraF. The family was later found to exist upstream of related families of protein genes in many bacteria, including the the yybP and ykoK genes in B. subtilis. The specific functions of these proteins are unknown, but this structured RNA element may be involved in their genetic regulation as a riboswitch. Lineage: Bacteria; Pseudomonadati; Pseudomonadota; Betaproteobacteria; Burkholderiales; Burkholderiaceae. The record is from RNAcentral.
CCGGCUUCCAUUGGGGAGUAGCCGCCUGGAGCCGAUGCUCCGGGGGCCACGUCAACAGACUUGACCGCUGUCGCAACGACAGACGGUUAUGGCGUGGUCAGCCGCACUCAGGGUGCCCCGCACCCGGUGACGCGCCUGGCGAGACCGAUGACACGCCU